Long non-coding RNA from Oncorhynchus kisutch (coho salmon), 1149 nucleotides. RefSeq lists it as uncharacterized. The transcript has 2 exons. The record is from RefSeq and is a predicted model, not a curated record. Lineage: Eukaryota; Metazoa; Chordata; Actinopteri; Salmoniformes; Salmonidae.
AAUCACUACAGACACCCUGGUUCAAAUCCAGGCUACGUUUCAAUCAAAGUGGUCCACCUUCCCUGUGGCCCGACAUCGUUGCUGUAUGGACAGUGCAGAGAACAUGGAUGUUUCGUUUGUCAUGCCACUUUACUGCCAGCUGUUGACCAUUCUCCUUGAACUCCACCUCCCCUCACUGCAUCUUCCUGCAUCCGAAUGCCGGCAUCCCCUUCCUGUUUGACCUGACUGUGCCACAAGCCCCUGUGCUGUUGGAGAGCAGAUGCUGGAAGACUGUGGGACUGCUGUAACAAUUGUCCACAUACAAAGUGUGUCCCCUGCUGAGAUGAGGAGCCAGCAUGGUCAUCACCACGGACCCGACACCCCAAGCCCCUCAUAAUGUUGGAUGUCAGUGGUGGACCCUGCGCAAACAAUAAUGUCCUGGACAAAUCCUGUCUUCACGUCGCACAUGACAAAGAACUUGACCCCAAACCUGUGCCUUUUGGAGGGAAUAUUGACGGAACGCCAGCCUACCAUUCCAUAACAUCAGGGACUCAUCAAUCCAUUGUUGACCAAAUGUAGGCAUCGUAGCAGAACUUGGGAAAAGAGGGUGGCAAAGAGGGGAGUUACAAAUAUAGGAUCUGUGCUCCAGUAUUCUCUUAGGGAGUUCUUUACUAUCCCCAUGAGAAGGUAUACAGGAAGGUAUACAUUUCACUAAUUGUGGUUGUCACCCAUUUAGCAAGUUUCCCCCCCUACUCCUGGCUCUCUUCUCCUGUAGCUCCAAGGCAUAGCGAUUGGUCUCCUCUACUAUGUCUCCCACCAGCUCCUCUGUCAGAAACAACUUGAAGCACUCUGCCUCAGAUGGAAAUGGCUAGGGGCGUUGCACUCCAGACUGGGACUCAUCAAAGCAAACAGCAGGGCCAGGUUGGGGUGAAAUGGCUCAGGCCUUCCAGCUGAACCUUUCCACAGAACUCCUGUACUUCAUCCACUGUCGGUCUGCCUCCAUCACUACCAGCAUCUUCAAAGGGACCUGGGACUUCGUCAGUGGACAAGGAGUCCUCAGAUUCAGGGUUCUCAAUGUCUACAAGGUUGGGGAGCAGUUCCUCACUGUCAGAAUCUGAUUCCUGACUUUCAUACUCAGACUCAAUGUCAGAAUUAAAAACAUCUCCAGAA